Suricata suricatta (meerkat) is the source of this 783-nucleotide long non-coding RNA. RefSeq lists it as uncharacterized. The transcript has 4 exons. The record is from RefSeq and is a predicted model, not a curated record. Lineage: Eukaryota; Metazoa; Chordata; Mammalia; Carnivora; Herpestidae.
ACAGGGACAGGCUCGCAGUGGGCGGAGCCCACACUCCCGGUGGCCUGACCUCAGCGGCAAGUGUGUCGAAAACAUGGCGAGCACCUGCUCUUGUCAGACAUCAGACACCCCUGAGGGUGGUAAUGACGGUGUCUCCGAGCAGAGGAUCUGUAAGGAUUUUGGGAGUUAGUGCACAUCAAGUUCUCAGCGCCUGGGAUUCAAAUAAUUUCCAAGGUGCUACAUACGGAGUUGGAAUUGUGUUUAAAGCUUGUUAGUUUAGUGUAGACACAAGAGCAAGAAUGAUCUCUUCAGCUGCACCAGCCCCGGUUCCUACACUUACUGGCUGUGACACUAACUUCCCGAUCCACCAGUCUCAUUUUGGCAGAAGAGCCUGUGAAACAACGGAAUGCAGGGCCAACAUGAGCCAUGUGUCAACUGGACCUGCCACCUUCUCCUGACUCUGGAAGCAAGGAUGUGGACAAGUGGACGCUCUCUAAGACACAGAUCGAGCCCCCCAGUCUCCCAGUGACCUGCCAAGGAAUCAGCUAGCUAGUCCCAAUUCUAAAGUCACUUUCCUCAAGUAAAUCGUUCUUUAAAGUUAGAAUAGAGAGCUGCAUCAGUCUAAUUUUGCUCUUAAUUAUAGAAACCAAAAAGGGAUAGCUUUUAUGUAAGCCUUUAUUUGUGUUGUAAAUAAGCAGAGAGAAAUGAAUUCUGUAAGCAACCUUGUGAAAAAGGUCUCAGUAAUCACUAGCUACACUGUUUGGUUCCACCCUGUUUUUCAGCUUUUAUUAAAAGGCUUAAUGG